RNAcentral lists this unclassified non-coding RNA (208 nucleotides) under Cladium jamaicense subsp. chinense. The record is from RNAcentral. Lineage: Eukaryota; Viridiplantae; Streptophyta; Magnoliopsida; Poales; Cyperaceae.
UCGUUGGCUUGCAAAAAUACGACCGGUGCACACGUAACAGAACGCUGCCGGGGCGGCGCGCCGCCCCGGCUCAUCGGCCCGGCCCUCGCGCCUUCGGGGUGUGUUGGUCGUGCUGAAUUCGGCGCGGGUUGACGCCAAGGAACACGUGGUGCGGAGGCAGCUGGCGGCGUGCUUUGGCGGGCCGCCUGUCGCCGAUGCGAAGGAACAC